Molecule: ribosomal RNA, 820 nt
Filed under: uncultured bacterium
Lineage: Bacteria
Description: bacterial SSU rRNA
Rfam family: Bacterial small subunit ribosomal RNA
Source: RNAcentral
UNUGACUUGAGUGCAGAAGGGGAGAGUGGAAUUCCAUGUGUAGCGGUGAAAUGCGUAGAUAUAUGGAGGANCACCAGUGGCGAAAGCGGCUCUCUGGUCUGUCACUGACGCUGAGGCUCGAAAGCGUGGGUAGCGAACAGGAUUAGAUANCCUUGUAGUCCACGCCGUAAACGAUGUGUGCUAGGUGUUAGGCCCUUUCCGGGGCUUAGUGCCGGAGCUAACGCAAUAAGCACUCCGCCUGGGGAGUACGACCGCAAGGUUGAAACUCAAAGGAAUUGACGGGGGCCCGCACAAGCGGUGGAGCAUGUGGUUUAAUUCGAAGCAACGCGAAGAACCUUACCAGGUCUUGACAUCCCGAUGCUAUUCUUAGAGAUAGGAAGUUACUUCGGUACAUCGGAGACAGGUGGUGCAUGGUUGUCGUCAGCUCGUGUCGUGAGAUGUUGGGUUAAGUCCCGCAACGAGCGCAACCCUUAUUGUUAGUUGCCAUCAUUAAGUUGGGCACUCUAGCGAGACUGCCGGUAAUAAACCGGAGGAAGGUGGGGAUGACGUCAAAUCAUCAUGCCCCUUAUGACCUGGGCUACACACGUGCUACAAUGGUCGGUACAACGAGUUGCGAGCCGGUGACGGCAAGCUAAUCUCUGAAAGCCGAUCUCAGUUCGGAUUGGAGGCUGCAACUCGCCUCCAUGAAGUCGGAAUCGCUAGUAAUCGCGGAUCAGCACGCCGCGGUGAAUACGUUCCCGGGCCUUGUACACACCGCCCGUCACACCACGAGAGUUUGUAACACCCGAAGUCGGUGAGGUAACCUUUUAGGGGCCAGCCG